AUUAGGGUGGCAGAGCCAGGCUAAUACGCACAAGACCUAAGCCCUUGAAACAAAAGUUCAAAUCUUUUCCCUAAUG
This 76-nucleotide transfer RNA is filed under the name Tropiocolotes tripolitanus. Its description in RNAcentral is "tRNA-Leu". It matches the Rfam family "tRNA". From Rfam's summary of the family: Transfer RNA (tRNA) molecules are approximately 80 nucleotides in length. Lineage: Eukaryota; Metazoa; Chordata; Lepidosauria; Squamata; Gekkonidae. The record is from RNAcentral.